Molecule: ribosomal RNA, 481 nt
Filed under: uncultured bacterium
Lineage: Bacteria
Description: partial 16S ribosomal RNA
Rfam family: Bacterial small subunit ribosomal RNA
Source: RNAcentral
AUUGAACGCUGGCGGCAUGCCUUACACAUGCAAGUCGAACGGUAACAGGUCUUCGGAUGCUGACGAGUGGCGAACGGGUGAGUAAUACAUCGGAACGUGCCCGAUCGUGGGGGAUAACGAAGCGAAAGCUUUGCUAAUACCGCAUACGAUCUACGGAUGAAAGCGGGGGAUCUUCGGACCUCGCGCGGACGGAGCGGCCGAUGGCAGAUUAGGUAGUUGGUGGGAUAAAAGCUUACCAAGCCGACGAUCUGUAGCUGGUCUGAGAGGAUGAUCAGCCACACUGAGACUGAGACACGGCCCAGACUCCUACGGGAGGCAGCAGUGGGGAAUUUUGGACAAUGGGCGCAAGCCUGAUCCAGCCAUGCCGCGUGCAGGAUGAAGGCCUUCGGGUUGUAAACUGCUUUUGUACGGAACGAAAAGGUGCCUUCUAAUAAAGGGCGCUCAUGACGGUACCGUAAGAAUAAGCACCGGCUAACUACGU